CCUACGGGAGACAGCAGUGGGGAAUAUUGCGCAAUGGGCGAAAGCCUGACGCAGCGACGCCGCGUGAGGGAUGAAGGUCUUCGGAUCGUAAACCUCUGUCAACAGGGAAGAACGGUCACUGUGCUAAUCAGCAGUGAAUUGACGGUACCUGCAAAGGAAGCACCGGCUAACUCCGUGCCAGCAGCCGCGGUAAUACGGAGGGUGCGAGCGUUAAUCGGAAUUACUGGGCGUAAAGCGCUCGUAGGCGGUAUGUCAAGUCAAGGGUGAAAUCCCCGCGCUCAACGUGGGAACUGCCUUUGAAACUGGCAAACUGGAGUGUGUGAGAGGAUAGUGGAAUUCCAGGUGUAGGAGUGAAAGCCGUAGAUAUCUGGAGGAACAUCAGUGGCGAAGGCGACUAUCUGGCACAUAACUGACGCUGAGGAGCGAAAGCGUGGGUAGCAAACAGGAUUAGAUACCCGGGUAGUC
Molecule: ribosomal RNA, 465 nt
Filed under: uncultured bacterium
Lineage: Bacteria
Description: partial 16S ribosomal RNA
Rfam family: Bacterial small subunit ribosomal RNA
Source: RNAcentral